RNAcentral lists this ribosomal RNA (1496 nucleotides) under uncultured bacterium. RNAcentral describes it as "16S ribosomal RNA". It matches the Rfam family "Bacterial small subunit ribosomal RNA". The record is from RNAcentral.
AGAGUUUGAUCCUGGCUCAGGAUGAACGCUAGCGGCAGGCUUAACACAUGCAAGUCGAGGGGCAGCGGGGAGGAAGCUUGCUUUCUCCGCCGGCGACCGGCGCACGGGUGAGUAACACGUAUGCAACCUGCCCCUGUCAGGGGGACAACCCGCCGAAAGGCGGGCUAAACCCGCGUACAUGCCACCGGGGCAUCCCGGAGGCAGGAAAGGCUUCGGCCGGACAGGGAUGGGCAUGCGGCGCAUUAGGCAGUAGGCGGGGUAACGGCCCACCUAACCGACGAUGCGUAGGGGUUCUGAGAGGAAGGUCCCCCACACUGGUACUGAGACACGGACCAGACUCCUACGGGAGGCAGCAGUGAGGAAUAUUGGUCAAUGGUCGGGAGACUGAACCAGCCAAGCCGCGUGAGGGAUGAAGGUACAGAGUAUCGUAAACCUCUUUUGUCAGGGAACAAAGGCGGGGACGUGUCCCCGGAUGAGUGUACCUGAAGAAAAAGCAUCGGCUAACUCCGUGCCAGCAGCCGCGGUAAUACGGAGGAUGCGAGCGUUAUCCGGAUUUAUUGGGUUUAAAGGGUGCGCAGGCGGUCUGUUAAGUCAGCGGUCAAAGCCCGGGGCUCAACCCCGGCCCGCCGUUGAAACUGGCAGUCUCGAAUUGGAGAGAAGUAUGCGGAAUGCGCGGUGUAGCGGUGAAAUGCAUAGAUAUCGCGCAGAACUCCGAUUGCGAAGGCAGCAUGCCGGCUCCACACUGACGCUGAGGCACGAAAGCGUGGGUAUCGAACAGGAUUAGAUACCCUGGUAGUCCACGCAGUAAACGAUGAAUGCUGGCUGUCCGGGGGGGAUUGACCCCUGGGUGGCGAAGCGAAAGCGAUAAGCAUUCCACCUGGGGAGUACGCCGGCAACGGUGAAACUCAAAGGAAUUGACGGGGGUCCGCACAAGCGGAGGAACAUGUGGUUUAAUUCGAUGAUACGCGAGGAACCUUACCCGGGCUCAAACGGGGAGUGACUCAGGCAGAGACGCCUGUUUCCCACGGGACACUCCCCGAGGUGCUGCAUGGUUGUCGUCAGCUCGUGCCGUGAGGUGUCGGCUUAAGUGCCAUAACGAGCGCAACCCCCGCGUGCAGUUGCUAACAGAUAACGCUGAGGACUCUGCACGGACUGCCGGCGCAAGCCGCGAGGAAGGCGGGGAUGACGUCAAAUCAGCACGGCCCUUACGUCCGGGGCGACACACGUGUUACAAUGGGUGGUACAGCGGGAAGCCAGGCGGCGACGCCGAGCGGAACCCGAAAUCCACUCUCAGUUCGGAUCGGAGUCUGCAACCCGACUCCGUGAAGCUGGAUUCGCUAGUAAUCGCGCAUCAGCCAUGGCGCGGUGAAUACGUUCCCGGGCCUUGUACACACCGCCCGUCAAGCCAUGGGAGCCGAGGGCGCUUGAAGUGCGUCGCCGCGAGGCGCGCCCUAGAGCGAAAUCGGUGACUGGGGCUAAGUCGUAACAAGGUAACC